Molecule: long non-coding RNA, 1310 nt
Filed under: Homo sapiens (human)
Lineage: Eukaryota; Metazoa; Chordata; Mammalia; Primates; Hominidae
Description: HSALNT0122828
Source: RNAcentral
CAAGGACGAAACCACAAGAAACUCUGAAAUAAAAGAGGCAAAGAACAUUCAGGGAGACUGAACAGAAGAUGCCAAAAACGUGGCACACAUACUGAGGAAAGGCCAUGUGUAGACACACAUAAAGGAGGUGUCCAUCUGCAAACCAAGAAGAGAGCCUUCACCAAAACCCUUCCAUGCUGGCACCUUGACCUUGAACUUAUGGCCUCCAGAAUUAAGAAGAUGAAUUGAAAUCGUAUUGAAGGGACUUGGAUGACUCCAUCAAAUGUCUCCUCAUCCCAGGGAUAAUGUUUAAAACGUCAUCUAAUCUGGACAAAAAUAUUUGAAAACAAACAAACAAAAAAGGCGGGGGGCACCAGUGAGCAUACGGAGACUGUAUUACGUAAGAAGAAAGGAAGAUGUGAAUAUAGUAGAGACUGGAGGAGUUCACAUUUCAAGUUUCAAGGAGACACAGAAGAUAGCCAAUUGUAGAAAAGAAGAAAAAACUUUAAAGAGACAGAAUCUCCCUUUGGUACCCAGGCUGGCCUCGAAUUCCUAAGCUCAAACAAUCCUCCUGCCUCAGCCUCCUAGAAGAUAGGACUAUAAGCAUCACUUGGAUUGGUACAUCCCCAUCUUUGGAGGAAGUCUGCGAUGAAGCCUUGUGUAAGUCAGUCACAGUGUUAAACUGAACCCAGGAGAUUUCACAGGAUUUCAAGUGCAGAAUCAAAGACAUAUAACCAUAAUAAAAUGCAAAAUCACAAGCCCUCAGAAUCAGAAGGGAUGUCAAGGAAAAUGCCUUCCCUCUCUCCACCUCUCUGAAUGCAGAACACUGAAGCUUCUGUGCAUCUGGUGAGCACGUGGUACAGAAUUGCAAGUUUCAUGAGCCCUGAUUAACUUCUCAUAGAGGCUGGCUGUGUUAGACUUUUGCUAAGGCCAAGAGUUUUAUUUUGUUCUAUCCUAUUUCAUUAUUAUAAAAAUCUGGAGAGUUGCUUAUUAUUAUGAACUCCUGUUUGAAGAUAUGGAAAUGAGGAAAAUGAAGACCUAUGGUACUUUUUUAAAAGUGAUACUAUAAAUAAGGAAUAAAAUGUGAAGUUGUGUGGUUGCCUGGAGUUCUUCUGCUUCCCUCAUCCAUAUCAACACAUACAAAUAAAUAAACUCCUGAGUACAUUCAUAUUCUAGGUAUUAAUACUGUUUCACCAAUUAUACACAGCAAGCUCAACAUAGCCAUCUUUCUUCAUCCAUAAUUUUUUCAGUGAUAAAUUUUCGUCAGUGAUGAAAGGCUCAGCUGGAAAAUUCUGCUUAAGAUCUCUCACAUAAUUGUAGUUAGAUAUUGG